This is a non-coding RNA of Sus scrofa (pig), 1379 nucleotides long. Lineage: Eukaryota; Metazoa; Chordata; Mammalia; Artiodactyla; Suidae. The record is from the annotation of a RefSeq genome assembly.
CAGGAACUUGAAUUUGGCUUCUUGGUGUCUUUUCUCAGGGAAGAGGGGAGGCUGUCACCUGAAGAUGUUGACUCUCCUGCUACUUCUCCUGGGACUAGGCUCUGGAUUCGGUGUUCUCCUCUCUCAAAAGCCAAGCAGAGACAUCUGCCAACGCGGGACCUCUGUGAUGAUCCAGUGCCAGGUCGAUAGCGAGUUCACCUACAUGUACUGGUACCGUCAGCUUCUAGGACAAAGCUUGACACUGAUGGCAGCUGUGGGUCGGGACUUCGAGGCCACUUAUGAGAGUGGAUUUACCAAGGAAAAGUUUCCCAUUAGCCGCCCAAACCUGAUGUUCUCAAUUCUGACCGUGAGCAACGUGAGCUCUGAAGACAGCAGCUCCUACUUCUGCAGCGCUGGAGACACAGUGCUGUGCACAGAUCAAAGGUCUCAACAAGAACGCCAGCUCCCUGCUACAUGCCUCCCCUCUAGGUGGGCCCAAGAAGCCUGAGAGGCAGGCUGGAGGGAGGAAACCACAGCUCUCGGGCAGAUGCAGCUGCUUGUGUGCAGGUGGAGAGGAAUGGGUGUGAGAAGUAAGCUGGGGAUGGGGAGAAAUUCUGUAGGACCAGCUGCAGGGCCGUAUCCACAGAUAGGAAGGGUGGCUACUGGAAGCUGAGGACAAAACUCCUUCCAGAGGAGUGUUUAGAAAUAGCAACAACCAGAUACAGUUUGUCUCCAGGUGACAGCAAUACUCUUUGAGUAUUUUAUCUCAAGCUAUCUUUAGCCUGAUCUCCAUCAGUAUAAUUCAGAAAGCCUUAGUUAUCUUGUUAUCAUAUGGGUCCAUGACGCUGAUGGCAUUAUGCUGAUUGUUCUUGCUGAGUAGAAAUUCAGAAGCCCUCUAGACGCCUCAGUAUGACACACACAUACCAAUCCAAUGAAAAAUCUGCAACCAGAAACUAACGCAGUAUUGUAAAUCGGCUCUCCUUCAAUUAAAAAAACAAAAACAAAACAGCCCUACCAAAAUUCCAAGAUCAGCCACCUUGAUGAGCUUCUCAGCAGUCCAGAGGUAUGGAACAUGUUAGAAUCGCCUCUCCAAAGGGCGAGACAUGCUGCUGCAUCUUAAGUCAUCCACCAUGAAGAAAGAGGGAUGAUGCUUUAUGGAACUCUGGAUUCUGGAAUUAACACACACUACCGCUCUUCGGGUCCAGUUUUGUCACAGAACAAGGCUCUCAUGAAAGCUGCUCAGCUGCCUGGGCCAUGGACCAAGCAGGCUCAGUUGCUCUUGAAGAGGCCAUUGCUAAUAGGGACAUCCUGUGGAGUCCAUGGCAGUCCCCAGUAAGAGAUUCACAAGGCAGAUGCAAAGAGUUUUGGUGUAAUGCCAUACUCUCUGCUACCUGCCAAUG